This 463-nucleotide ribosomal RNA is filed under the name uncultured bacterium. Its description in RNAcentral is "partial 16S ribosomal RNA". It matches the Rfam family "Bacterial small subunit ribosomal RNA", at positions 28 to 507 of the family's 1533-position model. The record is from RNAcentral.
GACGAACGCUGGCGGCGUGCUUAACACAUGCAAGUCGAACGGUGAACCUCUUCGGAGGGGAUCAGUGGCGAACGGGUGAGUAACACGUGGGCAACCUGCCCCCGUCUCUGGGAUAACUCCAAGAAAUUGGGGCUAAUACCGGAUGUUCACCGCUUCCCGCAUGGGUGGUGGUGGAAAGGGUUUCCGGCUGGGGAUGGGCCCGCGGCCUAUCAGCUUGUUGGUGGGGUAGUGGCCUACCAAGGCGACGACGGGUAGCCGGCCUGAGAGGGUGACCGGCCACACUGGGACUGAGACACGGCCCAGACUCCUACGGGAGGCAGCAGUGGGGAAUAUUGCGCAAUGGGCGGAAGCCUGACGCAGAGACGCCGCGUGGGGGAUGACGGCCUUCGGGUUGUAAACCUCUUUCAGCAGGGACGAAGCGCAAGUGACGGUACCUGCAGAAGAAGCACCGGCCAACUACGUG